CAGUUGCUGACCCAGCCCCGGCCUCAGCUUUCUUGUCGGCACCAGCUGGAACAAGAAACAUCACUUUAGAACCAUCGGAUGAGGUGAUCUACUACAGACCAAGGGAAGCCAUUUCAACAAUUGUACACCAUGAAGUACAGGUAAAUUAUACCCAAUGGUGAAUCACUUCUGCCCCGUCCCUCUCCUGUGGCAGCUUUCCUUAUGUCAUCCUUCAGAACUCACGGUCCAAACUACCGCCUCCUCCAGGAAGGCUGCCCAGACCACCAAGUCUGAAUUAUGUGCCCUUCAAUAUAGGCCCCCACUUCCCAUCGAGUUACUUACAUGCUUCAGAUGAUCAGCACCUAGCUUACAGACACAGUGCAAUAAAAAGGAAGAGAUAAAGAACAUAAAGGCUCACAGAAGGAAAAAGUAACUUCAUUAUGACCACAGUAAAGAACAAAGAUGAAAAGAUCCGGUGCUGCCCUGUCCUGUGUGGCAGCCACUGGUCCAAACUGAGGUGUGUGCAGAAUACAUCAGACUUAAAGACUUGAGAGAGUGCAAAACAAUGUUUAUACAGAUUACAUGUUAAAAUAGCACCGUAUUUUAUUUUUCUUAAAAUUUUAGUUUGAGAGCAAGAGAGAAUCUCAAGGAGGUGCCAUGCUGUUGGCACAGAGCCCAAUGCAGGUCUCAAUCUCAUGAACCAUGAGAUCAUUUACAUGAGCCAAAACCAAGAGUCAGACGCUUAACUGACUGAGCCACCCAGGUGCCCCUAAAAUAACAUUUUUAAAAAUACUGGAUUUGGGGUACGUGGCUGGCUCAAUCAGUAGAGCACACAACUCAAUCUCAGGGUUGUAGGUCGGAGCCCCACGUCGGAUAUAGAGCUUAAAAAAUAAACAAAUAAAAUCUUGCUUUUCUCCCCUCACUCCCCCGCCCCUUUGACAAGCAAGCUAUCAUGUUCCCAAUGCUGUACUUUUGUUCAUGUUGCUCUCACCCGAAAUGCUCAUUCCCACUCAAACUGGGGCUCAGGCCCAACCUCACAUCCUCUGGAGAACUACUCCAAUUCCCCAUGUGAUGUGACUUUUUAAAAUAUUUUUUUUAAUGUUUAUUUAUUUUUGAGACAGAGAGAGACACAGCAUGAACGGGGGAGGGUCAGAGAGAGAGAGAGGGAGACACAGAACCUGAAGCAGGCUCCAGGCUCUGAGCCAUCAGCACAGAGACCAACACGGGGCUCGAACUCCUGGACUGUGAGAUCACAACCUGAGCGGAAGUCAGAAGCUCAACCGACUGAGCCACCCAGGUGCCCGGUGAUGUGACAUCUAAUAAGAGCAACCAUUAACUUUCUCUGAACUAGGGGCUGAAGAAAUUCUUUCUUACUAUCCAGUAAAUUCAGAUCAGGUGCUCAUGUCUAUUUCUUUUAUGAAGAAUCAGGAACCAGGACACGAGGCAGGUAUGUGUGGAAGAAGCUGACGAAAAUUCCUUUAUAACCUUUCGUAUUACAAUUAACUGCUUCUCAACAAAGAUAAGGACUCUUUAAGUGGCCCACAAAGCUAUGAGACCCUACACCCUCAUCUGACUCUCCUGUCUUCUGUGGUUUAGACAAGCCAGACCAGGUGCCUUAAUGCUCACCCCACAGAGAGCUACUGGCUGACUCCCCAUACCUCCUUCAGAUGUUUGCUUAAAUCUCACUUCUGUGACUGAAAACCCUAUUGAAAACUGCACCAUCCCCCUGCUUUAUUUUUCCCUGAAGCAUCCACACCAGAGGCAGACUAUAUACUCAUUUUUGCUUACCAGUCUCCUACUACUAAAAUGCAAUUUCAGUGAGAAAGACCCUUUAUCUGUUAUGUACGCUACUGUCUCUCCAGCUCCUACAACAGUGCCCGGUACGUCACAGAAAUAUAUAUAUAUUGGUUGAAUGAACAAACACCUGUUAUUCCAAGACAAUGCAAACACCUAUUUAAAGACAAGGUUUUGAACCAUUUUUGCAAGAAGCAAAAGACAAUUUGAAUGGGCCCUGCCUGCAAGGAGCUUGCGACACAGGAACACAACCACCAACUAACAAAAGCACGUUGCUUUCUGGAAAAGUUUUCUGUUUUGCUCUACUUAAGGUCUUCAAUAAAGUCUUCCCUGUCCCCAGUGAAAAGGCCUUUUCCCCUAAUCCCAUCUAUCCAAUCCCCGCACAAGGCAAGAAACAUAAAGGACUCCAGCUAAAGAUGACCUAAAGAUUGAAACCAAGAAUCUUUCCUAGUCACCUUGGCAUUUUCGAGGGCUGAGCCCCAGCCAAGGUGACUGAGAAUCCAGAGAUCCCACCCCAAUACACCGAUACAGGUGAUGCAUUACUCACGGGGCACAGCGCUUCGUCUGUAGGUGUCUCUGUCAGCUUCCCCUCGUGUGAGUCUUGCAGGCCGCUCUCCUUCCAGACCUAGAGAAAUGAAACCACACUGUGAACACAGAGCCAUGUGGGAACUCUGUUGCCUCCAGGCCAAGAAAAGUGAAAUUGCUCUCCUGUUCUCACUGGCAACUUAGUUACGAUGAGUUCAAGGGGACAGAACUGACACAGAACUACUGGCCAGAAGUUUUGUCAUCACUGACACUGGCUCCUCAAAUGUGAUGGAGAAAACUCACAAUUAAAAUGCCACCCAUCUGCAAAAGUAUUGCUUUCUUCUACUGCACUUCUCAACACAGAUACACAUCUUCCAAAUACUUGGCAAAUUAAGCAAUCUGACCAUUUCUACAAAUCUCUGAAGAGCCAAAAUUUUGAACUUGACCCAUCUCUGAAGUGGAAAAUCUCCUGUGCAAAUGGGAAAGGAGGUGCUGAAAGCCCCACCUCCAACAGUCAGCAUAUAAAUAUACAGGCCACCAAGAACCCUUUAGUCCCUGGGCUGUGGGAUAUAUGUUAAGGCAGAUUAACUUAUUUCAGAGUUUCUUUAUUUUGAGAGAAUAAGAGAGACAGAGAGAGAAUGAAUAUGAAUGAAUAAAUAUUCCAAGCAGGCUCUGCACCAGCAGCACAGAGCCCAGUGCAGUUGGUGAACUCACCAACUGGGAGAUCAUGACCUUAGUAGAAACCAAGAGUCAGAUGCUUAACUGAGCCACCCAGAUGCCCCUAGGCAGAUUUAAAAGGUACUUUUAAAACAUUCUCCAAAACACUAGAAGUUAAUCUCAUUCUCUCUACCCAGCACCCUAGAACUUUACCUAGAAUCCAUGAUUAGAAUAUAGACUAUAAUUGAUCUGAAACACGUCUGAACUGCAGGGAUCUACCCAGACACAAUUUCUUUUCAUAAACUAAGAGUAUAGUACAGUAAACACAGAGGCACCUCUAACCUCCACAUUGUUCCAAAGGUCAAGUGUAUUUUUUUUUUUUUUAAGUACAAGAAGUAAGACUGAACCUGUAGUGAGUGGCUAAAAUACAUGCCAGGUCUCAUUUAUGCCAACUAAAUCAGAAUCUGUGGGGGCACAGACUGUUCUUCCCCCCCGCCGGGGAUUCCAAGAUACAGUAGAGAACCUUUGCUCUACUGAUACAUAAUCCCACGUAACCACCAGAAUCCCCUAGGGAACGUUCACAAAAAAUAGAUUCCUGAGUGCUAAGAAGUCUCUCGCCAGGGGAACCUGGACAGUGUGGUGAUUAUCUGGUUUUAGGACACUGCACCUCAUUACCCAAGCCCACAAACUGCUCCUCCCACAAAAUUCCUAUGACAAGUUCUUCCAUAACCUAAGGAAAGAAAAUCAUAACCUUGACAAAACACAACUGUGAGCCAGCAGUGAUCCCCCGCCAGAAGGUAAUUCACCACCCUUCUCACCAGCACAUCCUUUCACACUAUGAUUAGGAGUUUGAGUUUUGAUUAUUUUAAUUUUUUUUAAACGUUUAUUUAUUUUUGAGACAGAGCAUGAACGGGGGAGGGGCAGAGAGAGAGGGAGACAGAAUUGGAAGCAGGCUCCAGGCUCCGAGUCAUCAGCCCAGAGCCCGAUGCGGGGCUCGAACUCACGGACAGCGAAAUCGUGACCUGAGCCGAAGUCGGACGCUCAACCGACUGAGCCACCCAGGCGCCCCAGUUUUGAUUAUUUUAAAUCAAAUCAACCAGAGCCCAACGUGGGGCUCGAACUCUGAACGGUGAGAUCGUGACCUAGGCCCAAGUAGGAUGCUUAACCGACUGAGCCACCCAGGCACCCCUUGAUUAUUUUUGCUCCCAUUGCCAAGAGACUGUAAAUAAACUCUCCAUUUCUUUCACAUGUGGUAAACAGCUUUGUUCUGGACUUUUGGAGACCGGCACAAUCUCUGUCCUGGAAAAGUUAUUGCAUGCUCUACCACAUGUGCCUGGCCACAGACUAUAUUCUGUUUAAUGGCAUCACCUGGAAUGGCCUGAAGACCUGGCAUGACUGCGGUUCCAUUACGAGUCCUACGCCAGGGGACAAAGGUUCCAGGACUUGGCCCACGGUCCAGCUGACACCAAUGGUGUAUUAUAAGAGCCCUUUUGCUCCCCACCGUUUCACAUAUACCCUUCCUCUGAGAGAGAGAGAGCAACUUCAGGGCAGGCCUUCAUGUGGGCAACAUACCUUUGGGCCGCGGCCUGCCGGUCUCAGGACGGCUGCGACGCAGAGUGGCAGGCACGAUCUCAGGGGGCAGGUGGAGGUAAUCACGAAGAUACUGGAUACCCUCGUUGGUAAGGUACCAAUAGAAAUGUCUCCAGGCAAACUGUUCCUUUACGUAGCCUCGUGAUUUGAGAGACUGUAAAACAGAAAACAACUGUCAAGAUGCAACUAGAGACCCGAAUCUAGAAACUUGGUGCAAAAGGAAGCUAAAUUACGUAGACAAGCUUUCAGGAUGUAUCUACCUCAGCGCCCUUCAAGGCAGCAAGCAGCUCUGGCUGUCCUGACCUCUCCUUGGAAUCUGCCUCCAACAUUUAGUGGAAAAUCCCUCCAUCUGCACCCCACUCCAGCAGCCCCCAGGCUACCUGCAUGGCUUUCAUGACGUGAAGAUUGGGCACAUUCUUGUCUGCCAGCUCAGGGUGUUUAGGCAUGUGGACAUCCUUCUUGGCCACCAUCACUCCCUCCUUGAAAAGGAGUUCAUA
Molecule: long non-coding RNA, 5042 nt
Filed under: Lynx pardinus (Iberian lynx)
Lineage: Eukaryota; Metazoa; Chordata; Mammalia; Carnivora; Felidae
Source: RNAcentral